This 28-nucleotide small RNA is filed under the name Bombyx mori (domestic silkworm). RNAcentral describes it as "ovarian small RNA-10873". The record is from RNAcentral. Lineage: Eukaryota; Metazoa; Arthropoda; Insecta; Lepidoptera; Bombycidae.
AAUUCCCCAACUAGUCUGAUGAGAGGGG